AACGAACGCUGGCGGCGUGCCUAACACAUGCAAGUCGUGCGAGAAAGUUUCCUUCGGGGAGCGAGUAAAGCGGCGCACGGGUGAGUAACACGUAGGUAACCUACCUUUCAGUCCGGAAUAACCAGCUGAAAAGCUGGCUAAUGCCGGGUAAGACCACGAUCUCUGCGGGGAUCGCGGCCAAAGGCGGCCUCUUCAUGAAAGCUGAUGCUGAGAGAUGGGCCUGCGUACCAUUAGCUAGUUGGUGAGGUAACGGCUCACCAAGGCUUUGAUGGUUAGCUGGUCUGAGAGGAUGACCAGCCACACUGGGACUGAGACACGGCCCAGACUCCUACGGGAGGCAGCAGUGGGGAAUAUUGCGCAAGUGGGGAAACCCUGACGCAGCGACGCCGCGUGGGUGAUGAAGCCU
This 406-nucleotide ribosomal RNA is filed under the name uncultured bacterium. RNAcentral describes it as "bacterial SSU rRNA". It matches the Rfam family "Bacterial small subunit ribosomal RNA", at positions 29 to 416 of the family's 1533-position model. The record is from RNAcentral.